UGUAGACCAGACUAUACAUUUGUAUAUCAUUGUAUAUAUUGCUUGCUGUUUUGGUGGCAGUUUGAUGUUUUGCGCAGGUGGUUUUAUCGCUCAGAAAAUGAAUAGAGGUAAACUAUAACAUAUUCAGAUAAGACUGUGCUUGACAUGAUGUAUAUGUUCUACUGUUUAAUUCAAUGUGUUAUUAAGAAUGACAAAAUUUAUAAGACAUAAUAAACAUACUUUCAUUUGCUAACCUUAUCAUUGCCGAGUAAGUUUUGAUUGAAGCGUGCUGUAGAAUGGAAACGGAAACAACGACCCGAACUAGGGGGAGCAACCCAGUCCCUUAAUGAUUCUUCGAUGAGGCGAAAGCAUCCCGCACACGAAGGCUAGCUUCAGCUGGCCUAUGCACAAAAAUGUACACUAAUUUAUCAAAGUGAACGUCACACUUAACUCUUAGAUAUAAAUUGAUCUAAAAUAAAAACAAACAACAAAUUGACACAAACACACAAUGUUAACACAGACUCAAGUGACAGCAACAAAAUUCUGUGGUAUAUUCACAGCAACACUUUAUGCCAACAAUUCACGCUUAAGUAUUCAAAGAAAGUCAACGUUAAGAAUAGUAAAGAAAAAUGACUAUCGCACUUCCGUACGAUUUUAAAUUUUAUAUUGCUGACGUGAACAAGGAACAUGAGGAAUGCAAAGAAACAUAUUUUAAAAAGCACAUUAUGUUAUUUGGUCUCUAUCAAUUUAAUCUGAAAUUUUUUCGUAGUGGAAACGAGGAGUAUGAUCGUCUAUGAACUCAUCCCCUUUAUUUGUUUAUAUCAACAGUAAAAGAAAAAGAAACUGACAGGAAGAAAGUAAAUCCAGUUGGUAAAUGUAAAGAAGUUCAUAAACGUAAAAGGUAUACCACAUUAUGACACAUUAAAGAAAAUCCUACAUUUUAAGAAAAGUAAUUGAGAAUUGUUAAAAAAAUAUACAAUGUUAUAAAAGAUUAUUUUGAAAAGCAUUAAUCAGUACACUUCCAAUUGUCUCAGUUUAAUGACUUGAGUGUAAUAUACAGUUUUAAAAUAAACUUUAUGCAAUACCAAAAUGAAUGUAUCGAUAGGGUGUAUAGCAAUAUAUGCAUAUCAAAAACAAUAUGCAAAGAUUUCAUCGUACAAUUGAUAGCCUUCUGGAACAGAUUUAUUCGAAGACUUCAUCACACUACACGGAUCAUAUAUAUUUGCUCCAUAACACAAUAAUAUCGUAAGAUUAUGAUUGCAACCUUUAAACUUUUUUUUUUUUAUCUUUAAACAAAUUUUAGAAAAUACUUUAAAUUAUUUAUGGUAAAUAACUAAUCAUUGUACCUUUGAUAACUAUUACCAACUUACCAGUUUUACAAAGCGUUCUUUGAGAAUUAUUGUAAAUGUUGGAUUUGAGGAAUUAUAUUAUAAUUUGUGAUACUCAAUAGUACUGCUAUUCAUAUCAAUGAGGAACCAAGUCUAUAAUCAACGGAUACCAAGAUAUUACCAUAGGAGUACCAAUGACCAAUAAAUUGAAAACCAUGUCUUACGAUUCAUUUUUUGUAAUACACUAAAUUCAUUUUCAUUUCAGAUACAGGUACUAAGCGAUGUACAGAGUGUCACACACAUCAAGUUAUGUUACGUUCAAUCUUUGUUUAACAGUUAUUUUUUGUUUAUAUCAUUUAUUUUGUUAUAAUAAUAUUAUUUCGUUGAAAAUGCUGUUCAUGUUUAUUACAGCUUGAAACUAUUGUCCAUUUAAGACAAUGUAUGUUCAGAAUAAACGGCUUUAUUAAACCAC
RNAcentral lists this long non-coding RNA (1779 nucleotides) under Mytilus galloprovincialis (Mediterranean mussel). Lineage: Eukaryota; Metazoa; Mollusca; Bivalvia; Mytilida; Mytilidae. The record is from RNAcentral.